UAUCCAUAGAUCUGAUAUCCAAUAUUAUGUCCAGCAUGGUAAAUUGAAUAUAGGUUAUGAUUUAACUCUGCAUCAUGUUUGUAAUCUGAAUGCCAAAUGUUAGCUAUCUUUUGUACCAUGUAUAGCUGUAUUAAUACAAUAUUCAGAAAAUAUCUAUAUAUUUGUAACCUUGUAUAAUGCACACUGAUCGUUCCAUUAAUAACGAAUAAGCACAGAUUUGAGUACUUUGAUGUCUAACUAAACUGUUUGCAGGAUACAUUUACAUAAAAUUGCAAAUCAUAUUGUUUUUAUGUGUGGGUGUGUAUAUAUGCACUUGUAUAUUAAGUAGAUAAAUAUAGAAAAUGCAAUGAGAAAAUGUUGAAAGGCUUUGUACAAUAGCAAACGCAUCUUAUGAGAGAGUUAAAAAGCUUCUAAAAUGAAGAAGUAUAUCUUUAGAGCAAUUGUUUAAAAAACAUAAUUGUCUUCAGAUUACACUAAACGAUAAAAUACAACCAUUAGAAAAGUAAUCACAUUUUCACAAAAAAAAAAUAUACAAUUUUAUUUAUUUUUCAUCAAAAAUUAAGGGGAAAUUAAAAAACAAAACGUAACAAAAUUCUGUUAUUAAAAUAAAGUUAAAUUAAAAGAUUUUGUUUAACUCUUUUAGUAGGAGAGUACAACGCAUUUCACGCUGCCCAGAUCCUCCUAUCCAACACUAACAUUUUUAGGUCAACAUGUUUAAAUCGUAUAACUGCCACUUUGUUCCUACAGAUUUUAAUCAGAGGGUGUGUGAUAGGUAUUUUGGAUUGUAUAUGCACUGAUAAUCACAGCUAUACAUUCACAGAUUUUAAUUUGUAAAGGUGUUAAUAAAAAUAAUCAGGACAUCUAUAGCCUCUUCUUGCAUAUAGAACUUACACAUUCAGAUUUGUGAUCCAUUUUAUGUUAAGUACGUUGCAUCAUGCAUCAAUACUCAAGGACAUAUUCCAAGGACAAUCCCAGAAUCUGUAACUGCAUGACCUCACAUUCCAUUCUGUCCAAUCUUCAUCCAUUUGUAAGAUAAUUGGUGAUUUAUUGGCGAUAUCUUAACAUGGUUCUAGAUUCCUUGUCUGCUUUGAUAAUCCUUUGCGACUAUACAAUGUAAAAUAUAUUCUACAAAUGUAUUGCCUUCGAACAAAGAUGGAGGAUUGCUCUUUUGUGAAAAAAAAAUAGAUAAAAAAUAAGUUAUAAAAUGAAAAAAAUAAAAAAGCAUGUAUUUUUUUUACUUGCGCAGAGUCUUUUUGAGAUGCGAUCAAUUUUAUGAGUUUGGCCUUGAGCUGGGGGGAGGGGUUAACAAAAAAAAAGGUUUUGUACAGUUUUAUUAAGAAACGUGAAGAUUAUUCACAGACCUGUGUAAAAAAUAUAAUGUAAUAAACAUGCUGCAUGCAGCUAAAUUGAUUUUAAAAAA
Molecule: non-coding RNA, 1420 nt
Organism: Pelobates cultripes (western spadefoot toad)
Lineage: Eukaryota; Metazoa; Chordata; Amphibia; Anura; Pelobatidae
Source: the annotation of a GenBank genome assembly